GGGGAAUCUUGCACAAUGGGGGAAACCCUGAUGCAGCGACGCCGCGUGAGCGAUGAAGCCCUUCGGGGUGUAAAGCUCUUUCGGCAGGAACGAUAAUGACGGUACCUGAAGAAGAAGCUGCGGCUAACUACGUGCCAGCAGCCGCGGUAAUACGUAGGCAGCGAGCGUUGUUCGGAGUUACUGGGCGUAAAGAGUGCGUAGGUGGCUCUCUAAGUUUGGUGUGAAAUCUCCCGGCUCAACUGGGAGGGUGCGCCGAAAACUGGAGGACUAGAGUGUGGGAGAGGAAAGCGGAAUUCCUGGUGUAGCGGUGAAAUGCGUAGAUAUCAGGAGGAACACCUGCGGUGUAGACGGCUUUCUGGACCACUACUGACACUGAGGCACGAAAGCGUGGGGAGCAAAC
Molecule: ribosomal RNA, 400 nt
Filed under: uncultured bacterium
Lineage: Bacteria
Description: bacterial SSU rRNA
Rfam family: Bacterial small subunit ribosomal RNA
Source: RNAcentral